This 405-nucleotide ribosomal RNA is filed under the name uncultured bacterium. Its description in RNAcentral is "partial 16S ribosomal RNA". It matches the Rfam family "Bacterial small subunit ribosomal RNA", at positions 30 to 526 of the family's 1533-position model. The record is from RNAcentral.
AUUGAACGCUAGCGGGAUGCUUUACACAUGCAAGUCGAACGAGUGGCGGACGGGUGAGCAAUAUAUCGGAAUGUGCCCAGGAGAGGGGGAUCACUACUCGAAAGUGUGGCUUAUACCGUAUUAUAUUGGAGCGGCCGAUAUCGGAUUAGCUUGGUGGUGGGGUAAAGGCUCACCAAGGCAACGAUCCGUAGCUGGUUUGAGAGGACGACCAGCCACACUGGGACUGAGACACGGCCCAGACUCCUACGGGAGGCAGCAGUGGGGAAUUUUGGACAAUGGGGGAAACCCUGAUCCAGCCAUCCCGCGUGUAUGAGAAGGCCUUCGGGUUGUAAAGUACUUUUGGCAGAGAAGCGGUAUCUGCAGAAUAAGCACCGGCUAACUACGUGCCAGCAGCCGCGGUAAUAC